GUAUAAUAAUUUUUAGGAAAAGCAUUCUGAACCAUUAUAUUUAGAUCAGACUACAUAAAUAUAGAUAGUAAGAGAAAAUAGGUGAUGUUUUUAAUAUGUAUUUCAAUAUAGUUGUUUCCAAUUAUGUUGCAGGCUUUACUCAUCAGUCUUAAAUAUGGUUGUUUUAUGUGGCAAUUGGGAGAUACUGAUACUUGUUUUCAGAUCCAUAGCAUGGAAAAUAAAAUGAGCUUUAUAGUACAUACAAAACAGGCUGGUCUCGUGGUAAAACUGUUAAUGAAGCUAAAUGGACAGUUAAUGCCCACUGAAAGAAAUUCAUGAAAGAGAAGUAACUGUUACUCAAGCCACCACAUUUUGUAAUGCAGAGUUUUUUUUCCGUGAAAGAUUUCUUAAAGUAUUACUUUUGGCCGAGCGUGGUGGCUCACCCCUGUAAUUCCAACACUUUGGGAGGCUGGGGCAGGCGGAUCACCUGAAGUCAGAGUUCAAGACCAGCCUGGCCAACAUGGUGAAACCCUUUCUCUACAAAAAUACAAAAAUUAGCUGGACGUGGUGGCGGGCGCCUAUAAUCCUAGCUACUAGGGAGGCCGAGGUGGGAGAUCGCUU
Molecule: small RNA, 600 nt
Filed under: Pongo abelii (Sumatran orangutan)
Lineage: Eukaryota; Metazoa; Chordata; Mammalia; Primates; Hominidae
Description: retained intron
Source: RNAcentral